CUGGAUUGCCCACGACGACACAGUUUCCCGGCUCCCCUCGCGGACACCUACUCAGCCGCAGCGCAUAGGCCAUGUCAAGCGGCAGCCCAUCGCAGUCCUCACAACCCCGGAUUGAGAUCGCCGCUCCCCACUCCUCGCAGCCGCGGUGGUGUCGCAGUCACGCGAAUCGUCGACAAGGCAGCGCCGAUGGCCUCUGCCCUGUGCCUGCUCGAGCUACGAGCUCGUCGCCUUCCCCUUGCGAGUCCAUCGAGAAGGUGCCGUCCGCUGCUUGCAACCACAGUCCGGGGAGACGACUGGUCCGGUUACUCCGGUAAUCCCUGGACGCAGAUGACAUGCAUGAGGACGUCACUGGAGCUUUUGAUUCACGGCGGUGCCUCUGGUUAUAUCGCCAACCAUGCUCAUAGCUGCGUCUUCACAGCCGGUGGAGCCGCGCCUCAGUGCUACCGUGCCAGCAAUGCUGCCUUCAAGGUGUCUGACAAGAGGUACAACCCCACCUGACACGGUAUGCUCCACAGUCCUUUUCCAUCCCAUCUACAUGGACCUCAGGUAACUCACCUUCUCCAUUUUAUUGGUUUCAUUAUUUGAUAAUGAGUGCCAAUGUAAGGGGACAUCCUAUAGAUUGAUGAAGAAUUGAUUUGCAUGCAGGCCAACUACG
RNAcentral lists this long non-coding RNA (655 nucleotides) under Sorghum bicolor (sorghum). RNAcentral's name for it is "long non-coding RNA (SBIC_LNC003906)". Lineage: Eukaryota; Viridiplantae; Streptophyta; Magnoliopsida; Poales; Poaceae. The record is from RNAcentral.